ACAGUAGUGCCUAUUAGUGUUUGAUUAUGAAAUAUCUCCCAAGGAGCAUGUGGUGAAUUCUAGAUUAUGAUGCUAUUUGGGGAAGUUCUGGAAACACUGGGAGGUUCUAGAAGUGUUGAGAGAUGGGGCAUGAUUAGAAGAGAGAGUUCACUGAGACUCGGACUUUGAAGGUUCUCUGCAGUCUCCAGUUCCAUCAUGGCUCUGAUUCCUGUUCACUUUGAGUGCACAGAAGUCUGAGACUGGAGCCACAGAGCAAACUAGCUGGAUCUGUGAGCUCUGGAUUCAACUGAGAGACCCUGUCUCUGGCCUGGAGAUGGCUCAGUGGGUCAUGACACUCACUGCCAGAGUUUGAUCCCAGGAACCUACAUGGAAGGGAGACUUUGCUUCAGGCUCUCAGCACCCAGGCCUAUCUGUUGCACAGGGGCUGCUACUCAAGCAGUCCAGAGAAACAAACUGGGAGGACCAGCCGAGGCCACUGAUGGAUGAGAAGCGAGAACACGUGGAAAGCUUGUGAGACCGAGCACCAUCAUCUGCUGCAGUUGGGUAGUUGGACUAUUCUUGCCCCUCAUUCAGAAACACACAACACUGAUUCCAGCCCUGAAAAAUGAAAAGACGUGUAGGAGGUAAC
This is a long non-coding RNA of Peromyscus eremicus (cactus mouse), 628 nucleotides long. RefSeq lists it as uncharacterized. NCBI's taxonomy places the organism in Eukaryota, Metazoa, Chordata, Mammalia, Rodentia, Cricetidae. The record is from RefSeq and is a predicted model, not a curated record. The transcript has 3 exons.